Molecule: long non-coding RNA, 571 nt
Organism: Zingiber officinale
Lineage: Eukaryota; Viridiplantae; Streptophyta; Magnoliopsida; Zingiberales; Zingiberaceae
Exons: 3
Source: RefSeq, a predicted model, not a curated record
CCAGAAGAAUAGAUGAACCGAACCAAGAACCAAUCCCAACAGAAUCGUCUCGAUGCAGUUCACUAUCCAAAUGUGCCUCCGGAGUCCGGAUCCUCCCAAAAUCUGAAGGAAUGUUCCUGUUCCGAUGGAUCUCGGCCAAGACAGAUAUGCAGAGUAUUCUUUCUUCUGUUCCUUCGGACAAGAAGGAGCAUAAGAGCAUCUAAAAUAAGCUCUCGGCGAUGGAUUAUCUUUUGUGACCUUCUGACCAUAUUUCCUCCAUUGGUAACCAUCUCUGACCAUCUGAAAGAAAACAGAACCUUAGGUAACUGAUUCCAUUAAAAAAAAAAAAAGCAAACAGAUUCUUCUAUUGAUCUAACAUUAAAAAAAAUUCUCACCGGGCUUGAAUCGGAUGCAUCGACUCUCGUAUAAGUUGUGUGGGCAUUAUUGGGCUCGAUAUCUUCUCUCAAUCUCUUGCAUGAAGGCCUGGUUAUAUCAUUCUCAGUCUGAUUUCUGGUUUCAUGAAUUCUAUCAAAAAGAGAAUCAUUGUUUCUGUUCAUUUCAGUGUUUUGAAUCUUCCUCUUUCCUGUCAUUG